AGGACGAACGCUGGCGGCGUGCUUAACACAUGCAAGUCGAGCGGUGAACCGGAGCUUGCUCCGGGGAUCAGCGGCGAACGGGUGAGUAACACGUGGGCAACCUGCCCUCAGCUCUGGGAUAACUCCGGGAAACCGGGGCUAAUACCGGAUACGACUUCCUGCGGCAUCUCGGGAAGUGGAAAGUUUUUCGGCUGAGGAUGGGCCCGCGGCCUAUCAGCUUGUUGGUGGGGUAAUGGCCCACCAAGGCGACGACGGGUAGCCGGCCUGAGAGGGCGACCGGCCACGACGUGGACUGAGACACGGCCCAGACUCCUACGGGAGGCAGCAGUGGGGAAUAUUGCGCAAUGGGGACGAAAGCCUGACGCAGCGACGCGCGUGAGGGAUGAAGGCCUUCGGGUUGUAAACCUUCGUUUCAGCAGGACGAAGCGAAAGUGACGUACUGCAGAAGAACGACACCGGACCAACGUACGUCGCCAGCAGCCG
Molecule: ribosomal RNA, 483 nt
Filed under: uncultured soil bacterium
Lineage: Bacteria
Description: bacterial SSU rRNA
Rfam family: Bacterial small subunit ribosomal RNA
Source: RNAcentral